Molecule: ribosomal RNA, 421 nt
Filed under: uncultured bacterium
Lineage: Bacteria
Description: partial 16S ribosomal RNA
Rfam family: Bacterial small subunit ribosomal RNA
Source: RNAcentral
AUAUAGGACAAUGGGGGCAACCCUGAUCCAGCCAUGCCGCGUGUGUGAAGAAGUUCUUCGUAUUGUAAAGCACUUUAAGUUGGGAGGAAGGGCUUUAGGUUAAUACCCUGAAGUAUUGACGUUACCCACAGAAUAAGCACCGGCUAACCCUGUGCCAGCAGCCGCGGUAAUCCAGAGGGUGCAAGCGUUAAUCGGAAUUACUGGGCGUAAAGCGAGCGUAGGUGGUUCAGUAAGAUGGGUGUGAAAUCCCCGGGCUUAACCUGGGAACUGCUUUCAUCACUGCUGAGCUAGAGUACGGUAGAGGGUAGUGGAAUUUCCUGUGUAGCGGUGAAAUGCGUAGAUAUAGGAAGGAACACCAGUGGCGAAGGCGACUACCUGGACUGAUACUGACACUGAGGUGCGAAAGCGUGGGGAGCAAGCA